AUGGUUGCAAUUAGGUUGCAGUCAGAAUCGUGGAAUGAAUUCUGCAAGCAGAAUCAUGGAAAGGAUCAAGUUCAUGAACUGACGUACCACUGCAUUCUCCUGAAUGCUCCUCUUUUCUUCUCAAUAACACCACAGCAGUACAUUCCCAUCAAGUCCUCCAUGAUUACCCAGCCUGGGAUGGCUUCCUACCUCUCAGUUUCCCACAGACAAUACCAUUCAUCCCUGCUCAGAGAGUUGUGGUGGAAGAGACACCAUCAUUCACUAGAAUGAAAGGACGUUGGAUGUUAAGAAGAAACUGUAAUGAGUUUCUUUCUCUGAGUGCUACUUUUUGUUCUGUUCGCCUGUGGGACUGCAGAUGGAACUGGGUC
Molecule: long non-coding RNA, 368 nt
Filed under: Fukomys damarensis (Damara mole-rat)
Lineage: Eukaryota; Metazoa; Chordata; Mammalia; Rodentia; Bathyergidae
Description: lncRNA (ENSFDAG00000024372.1)
Source: RNAcentral